Molecule: ribosomal RNA, 275 nt
Filed under: Escherichia coli
Lineage: Bacteria; Pseudomonadati; Pseudomonadota; Gammaproteobacteria; Enterobacterales; Enterobacteriaceae
Description: partial 23S ribosomal RNA
Rfam family: Bacterial large subunit ribosomal RNA
Source: RNAcentral
AAAGAAAGCGUAAUAGCUCACUGGUCGAGUCGGCCUGCGCGGAAGAUGUAACGGGGCUAAACCAUGCACCGAAGCUGCGGCAGCGACGCUUAUGCGUUGUUGGGUAGGGGAGCGUUCUGUAAGCCUGCGAAGGUGUGCUGUGAGGCACGCUGGAGGUAUCAGAAGUGCGAAUGCUGACAUAAGUAACGAUAAAGCGGGUGAAAAGCCCGCUCGCCGGAAGACCAAGGGUUCCUGUCCAACGUUAAUCGGGGCAGGGUGAGUCGACCCCUAAGGCG